This 468-nucleotide ribosomal RNA is filed under the name uncultured bacterium. Its description in RNAcentral is "partial 16S ribosomal RNA". It matches the Rfam family "Bacterial small subunit ribosomal RNA", at positions 28 to 507 of the family's 1533-position model. The record is from RNAcentral.
GACGAACGCUGGCGGCGUGCUUAACACAUGCAAGUCGAACGGAAAUGCCCUGCUGUUGUGGGUUGCUCGGGUGGCGAACGGGUUAGUAACACGUGAGUAACCUGCCCUGGACUUUGGGAUAACUUCAGGAGACUGGGGCUAAUACCGGCUAGGAGCUCCUGCUGCAUGGUGGGGGUUGGAAAGUUUAGGCGGAUGGGGAUGGACUCUCGGCUUAUCAGCUUGUUGGUGGGGUAGUGGCUUACCACGGGGUUGGCGGGUAGCCGGCGGGAGAGGGUGAGCGGGGACACAGGGACUGAGAUACAGGCCAGACUCCCACGGGAGGGAGAAGUGGGGAAAAUAGUACAAUGGGCGGAAGACUGAGGCAGAAACGCCGCGUGUGGAAGGACGGGCUUCGCGGAGUAAACAGCGUUCGCAUGUGACGAAGCGUGAGUGACGGUAAUGGGUAAAGAAGCAACGGCUAACUACGUG